UAGGGAAUCUUCCACAAUGGACGCAAGUCUGAUGGAGCAACGCCGCGUGAGUGAAGAAGGCUUUCGGGUCGUAAAACUCUGUUAUUGAAGAAGAACGUGUGUGACAGUAACUGGUCAUGCAGUGACGGUAUUCAAUCAGAAAGUCACGGCUAACUACGUGCCAGCAGCCGCGGUAAUACGUAGGUGGCAAGCGUUGUCCGGAUUUAUUGGGCGUAAAGCGAGUGCAGGCGGUCUUUUAAGUCUGAUGUGAAAGCCUUCGGCUUAACCGAAGAAGGGCAUCGGAAACUGGGAGACUUGAGUGCAGAAGAGGAGAGUGGAACUCCAUGUGUAGCGGUGAAAUGCGUAGAUAUAUGGAAGAACACCAGUGGCGAAGGCGGCUCUCUGGUCUGUAACUGACGCUGAGGCUCGAAAGCGUGGGUAGCAAACAGGAUUAGAU
This 436-nucleotide ribosomal RNA is filed under the name uncultured bacterium. Its description in RNAcentral is "partial 16S ribosomal RNA". It matches the Rfam family "Bacterial small subunit ribosomal RNA", at positions 355 to 783 of the family's 1533-position model. The record is from RNAcentral.